This 949-nucleotide ribosomal RNA is filed under the name Pseudoceros irretitus. RNAcentral's name for it is "partial large subunit ribosomal RNA". It matches the Rfam family "Eukaryotic large subunit ribosomal RNA", at positions 107 to 864 of the family's 3401-position model. Lineage: Eukaryota; Metazoa; Platyhelminthes; Polycladida; Pseudocerotidae. The record is from RNAcentral.
GCCCAGCACCGAAUCCUUCACCAUGCGGGUGACAGGAAAUGUGGUGUUUAGGCCGUGCUUUGUGCUGGUACGUCUCUCCUCAAGUCCACUUGAUUGUGGCCCCUGGCCCAGAGAGGGUGUAAGGCCCGUGGAGGCGAGAUGUCCAGUGCCUGGUGCGUCCUUAGAGUCGGGUUGUUUGGGAAUGCAGCCCUAAGCGGGUGGUAAACUCCAUCCAAGGCUAAAUACUAGCACGAGUCCGAUAGCGAAGAAUGUACCGCGAGGGAAGGUUGAAAAGAACUUUGAAGAGAGAGUUCAAGAGUACGUGAAACCGCUGAGAGGCAAACUGGUGGAACUGAAAUGGUCUCGAGGAAUUCAGCCGUUGGUUGUUGUGCAGCUAGUGGUCUCUGAUCUCACGACAGGACCAUUGGAUGAGGCUUCGAUCAUCGGUGCACUUUCCUCGUUGUGGGCCCAACUACGACCGGUGAACUGAUCUGUCUAUCGUGCUUGGAAGGUAGCGUCAUCUUCGGAAGGCGUAUUAUAGACUUGCGCAUGGAGCAGUACGGUGCACUGGAAGAUAGUGCCUGCCUUUAGGCUCAUAUGGUGGCUGUUUUAUUGGCGAAAUUGAUGUCACUACUCCGGUAGGGGCGUUGAGUUGUGUCGGCAUUACGGCUGUCCUCUAUGAUUGGCACUGGUAAGUCUGUAGUUGUGAAGUAGGUAGUCCACCUGACCCGUCUUGAAACACGGACCAAGGAGUCUAACAUGUGCGCGAGUCAUUGGGUUCACGAAACCUAAAGGCGCAGUGAAGGUAAAGAUCUGUUAUUGGCAGAUUGAGGUGGGAUGCUGGGUUACGCGCCCGGCCGCACUACCGGCCCGUUCUACAUGUAUCUCAUGAGAGCGGAGCAAGAGCGUACACGUUGGGACCCGAAAGAUGGUGAACUAUGCUUGCGCAGGUCGAAGCCAGAGAAAACUC